AUUGAACGCUGGCGGCAGGCUUAACACAUGCAAGUCGAGCGGGGGAAGGUAGCCUGCUACCGGACCUAGCGGCGGACGGGUGAGUAAUGCUUAGGAAUCUGCCUAUUAGUGGGGGACAACAUCUCGAAAGGGAUGCUAAUACCGCAUACGUCCUACGGGAGAAAGCAGGGGAUCUUCGGACCUUGCGCUAAUAGAUGAGCCUAAGUCGGAUUAGCUAGUUGGUGGGGUAAAGGCCUACCAAGGCGACGAUCUGUAGCGGGUCUGAGAGGAUGAUCCGCCACACUGGGACUGAGACACGUCCCAGACUCCUACGGGAGGCAGCAGUGGUGAAUAUUGGACAAUGGGGGGAACCCUGAUCCAGCCAUGCCGCGUGUGUGAAGAAGGCCUUAUGGUUGUAAAGCACUUUAAGCGAGGAGGAGGCUACUCUAGUUAAUACCUAGGGAUAGUGGACGUUACUCGCAGAAUAAGCACCGCCUAACUCUGUGCCAGCCGCCGCAGUAA
This 501-nucleotide ribosomal RNA is filed under the name uncultured bacterium. Its description in RNAcentral is "partial 16S ribosomal RNA". It matches the Rfam family "Bacterial small subunit ribosomal RNA", at positions 30 to 523 of the family's 1533-position model. The record is from RNAcentral.